CAUCAACAGAUGACGGCGUCCCUGUGGCACUGACUGAUCGCACUGGCUGCGACUUCCCGUAAUUCCCUCCCACUGAUGUUGGUCUGGAACGGCCGCAGCAGAAAGUGGUGCAAACAUCUAGUGCAGUGCACGGAGGCGUCGUUUCUUAACCCCGUGAGGUCAUGAACUGGCGUUUUGGCCUCAGCGCCUGUGAGCCGCGUGCGUCUGAGAGUCCAGGAGCUACUGGUGACAUCGUGGUUUGAGGUCACAUGACAGCGAGCGAGCUAAAAUGGGGCUCCUGGUCUCUAAAGCCUAAGCUAAACACCUCGGCUGUGAAGGGUCGUUCCAGGGUCAGAGGUGUUUGAUGAGAUGCCAACUGCUCCAAGCUCACAGGUGGGAAGAUUAAAUGAUGCCAUUAAAAGUGCUUGAACAGCUGCGGUAUGACAGAGUGAGGCGUCACCAAAUUCACCCGAAGACAAGAACUGCAUGAAAUAAACUCCUGUGACUGAAUGUACA
Molecule: long non-coding RNA, 495 nt
Filed under: Betta splendens (Siamese fighting fish)
Lineage: Eukaryota; Metazoa; Chordata; Actinopteri; Anabantiformes; Osphronemidae
Description: lncRNA (ENSBSLG00000012096.1)
Source: RNAcentral